This 468-nucleotide ribosomal RNA is filed under the name uncultured bacterium. RNAcentral's name for it is "partial 16S ribosomal RNA". It matches the Rfam family "Bacterial small subunit ribosomal RNA", at positions 28 to 507 of the family's 1533-position model. The record is from RNAcentral.
GACGAACGCUGGCGGCGUGCUUAACACAUGCAAGUCGAACGGAAAGGCCCUGCUUUUGUGGGGUGCUCGAGUGGCGAACGGGUGAGUACCACGUGGGUAACCUCCCCUUGACUUUGGGAUAACUUCAGGAAACUGGGGCUAAUACCGGAUAGGACCUCCUGCUGCAUGUUGGGGGUGGGAAAGUUUCGGCGGUUGGGGGUGGACUCGCGGCUAUUCAGCUUGUUGGUGGGGUGGUGGCUUACCAAGGCUUUGACGGGUAGCCGGCCUGAGAGGGUGACCGGGCACAUUGGGACUGAGAUACGGCCCAGACUCCUACGGGAGGCAGCAGUGGGGAAUAUUGCACAAUGGGCGGAAGCCUGAUGCAGCAACGCCGCGUGCGGGAUGACGGCCUUCGGGUUGUAAACCGCUUUCGCCUGUGACGAAGCGUGAGUGACGGUAAUGGGUAAAGAAGCACCGGCUAACUACGUG